This 253-nucleotide ribosomal RNA is filed under the name uncultured bacterium. RNAcentral's name for it is "partial 16S ribosomal RNA". It matches the Rfam family "Bacterial small subunit ribosomal RNA", at positions 524 to 776 of the family's 1533-position model. The record is from RNAcentral. RNAcentral also lists the same sequence under 1 other name.
UACAGAGGGUGCGAGCGUUGUCCGGAAUCACUGGGCGUAAAGGGCGCGUAGGUGGCGCCGCAAGUCCAUGGUGAAAGCUCGAUGCUCAACAUCGAGUCGGCCACGGAGACUGCGGGGCUCGAGCACUGUAGGGGCAGAUGGAAUUCCGGGUGUAGCGGUGGAAUGCGUAGAGAUCCGGAAGAACACCGGUGGCGAAGGCGGUCUGCUGGGCAGUUGCUGACACUGAGGCGCGACAGCGUGGGGAGCAAACAGG